UGCAUGCCUGACUGUAAGUCGGUUUGGAUAAAAGCGUGUGCUAAAUGGCAUAUA
Salmo salar (Atlantic salmon) is the source of this 54-nucleotide non-coding RNA. The record is from Rfam. NCBI's taxonomy places the organism in Eukaryota, Metazoa, Chordata, Actinopteri, Salmoniformes, Salmonidae.